UGGGGAAUUUUCCGCAAUGGGCGAAAGCCUGACGGAGCAAUGCCGCGUGGAGGUGGAAGGCCUACGGGUCGUCAACUUCUUUUCUCGGAGAAGAAACAAUGACGGUAUCUGAGGAAUAAGCAUCGGCUAACUCUGUGCCUG
RNAcentral lists this ribosomal RNA (141 nucleotides) under uncultured bacterium. RNAcentral's name for it is "partial 16S rRNA". It matches the Rfam family "Bacterial small subunit ribosomal RNA", at positions 355 to 511 of the family's 1533-position model. The record is from RNAcentral.